UACGGGGGGGGCAAGCGUUGUUCGGAAUUACUGGGCGUAAAGGGCUCGUAGGUGGCCAACUAAGUCGGACGUGAAAUCCCUCGGCUUAACCGAGGAACUGCGUCCGAUACUGGUUGGCUUGAGUUUGGGAGAGGGAUGCGGAAUUCCAGGUGUAGCGGUGAAAUGCGUAGAUAUCUGGAGGAACACCGGUGGCGAAGGCGGCAUCCUGGACCGGCAUUGACGCUGAGGAGCGAAAGCUAGGGGAGCAAACGGG
This 253-nucleotide ribosomal RNA is filed under the name uncultured bacterium. Its description in RNAcentral is "partial 16S ribosomal RNA". It matches the Rfam family "Bacterial small subunit ribosomal RNA", at positions 524 to 776 of the family's 1533-position model. The record is from RNAcentral.